This 524-nucleotide ribosomal RNA is filed under the name uncultured bacterium. RNAcentral describes it as "partial 16S ribosomal RNA". It matches the Rfam family "Bacterial small subunit ribosomal RNA", at positions 28 to 523 of the family's 1533-position model. The record is from RNAcentral.
GACGAACGCUGGCGGCGUGCCUAAUACAUGCAAGUCGAGCGCAGGAAAUCGACGGAACCCUUCGGGGGGAAGUCGAUGGAAUGAGCGGCGGACGGGUGAGUAACACGUAAAGAACCUGCCCUCAGGUCUGGGAUAACCACGAGAAAUCGGGGCUAAUACCGGAGGGGUCAUCGGACCGCAUGGUCCGAGGAUGAAAGGCGCUUCGGCGUCGCCUGGGGAUGGCUUUGCGGUGCAUUAGCUAGUUGGUGGGGUAAUGGCCCACCAAGGCGACGAUGCAUAGCCGACCUGAGAGGGUGAUCGGCCACACUGGGACUGAGACACGGCCCAGACUCCUACGGGAGGCAGCAGUAGGGAAUCUUCCACAAUGGACGAAAGUCUGAUGGAGCAACGCCGCGUGAACGAUGAAGGCCUUCGGGUCGUAAAGUUCUGUUGUAAGGGAAGAACAAGUGCCGCAGGCAAUGGCGGCACCUUGACGGAACCUUGCGAGAAAGCCACGGCUAACUACGUGCCAGCCGCCGCAGUAA